This 497-nucleotide ribosomal RNA is filed under the name uncultured bacterium. RNAcentral's name for it is "partial 16S ribosomal RNA". It matches the Rfam family "Bacterial small subunit ribosomal RNA", at positions 28 to 507 of the family's 1533-position model. The record is from RNAcentral.
GAUGAACGCUGGCGGCGUGCCUAAUACAUGCAAGUCGAGCGAACAGACGAUGAGCUUGCUCCUCUGACGUUAGCGGCGGACGGGUGAGUAACACGUGGAUAACCUACCUAUAAGACUGGGAUAACUUCGGGAAACCGGAUCUAAUACCGUAUAAUAUAUUGAACCGCAUGGUUCAAUAGUGAAAUACGGUUUUGCUGUCACUUCUAGAUGGAUCCGCGCCGCAUUAGCUAGUUGGUAAGGUAACGGCUUACCAAGGCAACGAUGCGUAGACGACCUAUGAGGCUGAUAGGCCACACUGGAACGGAGACACGGUCAAGACUCCUACGGGAGGCAGCAGUAGCGAAUCUUCGGCAAUGGGCGAAAGCCUGACGGAGCAACGCCGCGUGAGUGAUGAAGGUCUUCGGAUCGUAAAACUCUGUUAUUAGGGAAGAACAAAUGUGUAAGUAAAUAUGCACGUAUUGACGGUAACUAAUAAGAAAGCCACGGCUAACUACGUG